Molecule: ribosomal RNA, 207 nt
Filed under: uncultured bacterium
Lineage: Bacteria
Description: partial 16S ribosomal RNA
Rfam family: Bacterial small subunit ribosomal RNA
Source: RNAcentral
UUUGUAGGCGGCUCUAUAAGUCGGGUGUGAAAUCCCACGGCUCAACCGUGGAAGUGCAUUCGAAACUGCAGAGCUUGAAUAUGGAAGAGGAGAGUAGAAUUGCUGGUGUAGUGGUGAAAUACGUAGAUAUCAGCAGGAAUACCGGUGGCGAAGGCGGCUCUCUGGUCCAAUAUUGACGCUGAGAAACGAAAGUGCGGGGAUCAAACA